This 906-nucleotide ribosomal RNA is filed under the name Salmonella enterica subsp. salamae. RNAcentral describes it as "partial 23S ribosomal RNA". It matches the Rfam family "Bacterial large subunit ribosomal RNA", at positions 911 to 1735 of the family's 2925-position model. The record is from RNAcentral. Lineage: Bacteria; Pseudomonadati; Pseudomonadota; Gammaproteobacteria; Enterobacterales; Enterobacteriaceae.
UGUUUCGGCUAGGGGGCCAUCCCGGCUUACCAACCCGAUGCAAACUGCGAAUACCGGAGAAUGUUAUCACGGGAGACACACGGCGGGUGCUAACGUCCGUCGUGAAGAGGGAAACAACCCAGACCGCCAGCUAAGGUCCCAAAGUCAUGGUUAAGUGGGAAACGAUGUGGGAAGGCCCAGACAGCCAGGAUGUUGGCUUAGAAGCAGCCAUCAUUUAAAGAAAGCGUAAUAGCUCACUGGUCGAGUCGGCCUGCGCGGAAGAUGUAACGGGGCUAAACCAUGCACCGAAGCUGCGGCAGCGAACGUAUCACUUAAAACGAUUCAGAAGCUUACGAUUGACGGAGCGAAGCGACGUCAAAGCGUAUACAAAGUCGAGUCGGUUUAAGGAUACGUUCGUUGGGUAGGGGAGCGUUCUGUAAGCCUGCGAAGGUGGCCUGUGAGGGUUGCUGGAGGUAUCAGAAGUGCGAAUGCUGACAUAAGUAACGAUAAAGCGGGUGAAAAGCCCGCUCGCCGGAAGACCAAGGGUUCCUGUCCAACGUUAAUCGGGGCAGGGUGAGUCGACCCCUAAGGCGAGGCCGAAAGGCGUAGUCGAUGGGAAACGGGUUAAUAUUCCCGUACUUGGUGUUACUGCGAAGGGGGGACGGAGAAGGCUAUGUUGGCCGGGCGACGGUUGUCCCGGUUUAAGCGUGUAGGCUGACUUUCCAGGCAAAUCCGGAGAGUCAAGGCUGAGGCGUGACGACGAGGCACCACGGUGCUGAAGCAACAAAUGCCCUGCUUCCAGGAAAAGCCUCUAAGCAUCAGGUAACAUCAAAUCGUACCCCAAACCGACACAGGUGGUCAGGUAGAGAAUACCAAGGCGCUUGAGAGAACUCGGGUGAAGGAACUAGGCAAAAUGGUGCCGUAACU